UUUACUUAUAAAUUGAUGAAAAAAACUCUAUUAAAUACAAAAGAGAAAAAAUAUGACUAAAAUACUCAUGUUUGUUUAUAUUUUGAUCAUCUUUUUUUCUCUAUUUCUUGUUGAAGCUGGUAGAGGUGGAAGUGGAUAUACAACCAUUCCUUGUACUGUUGACACUUAUGAAAUAGAUUGUCCAGAGAAACUUAAUUGUAUUCGUAGGUGUGUUGCAGGGUUUUGUGACUAUUUGAGUACGAGUAUAUGAGACUUUCCCAAGUGUUUUAAUUUGAAUUGACUUUAUGAAAAAUUCAUGUAAGAUUAUAACUCGAAUAAAUAUGUUAAAUAUCUAUAUCACAAAUCUAUUGAAGUUCAUAUAAGAAUAAAUAUUUAGAAUAAUAUGUUUUAUUCUAUCUCCACGAAUGUGUGCCUCUUUUUAUAGAACUAUGAAUGCAAUAUUAUUUUCAUAAAUUGUUGAUAAAAUUAUUCUUCUAAUAGACAAACCACGCAGAGAGAGAUUAUAGAGAAAAUAAUAACAAACAUGUUCUCAACACAGCAUUCAUCAAAACAACGCAAAUACAGUUUGAAAUUAAACGUAUAUAUGCUAUUGAAUAUGGUUCUAUAAUUUCACCAUCCCUUCUUAACACUAGAAGAAAAAUGACAUAUACCAACCGCAUCUUUUACUAACUAUUUUUCAAGUCGUUGGUACAGGUAUAAUUAACCGUAGGUAUAGGAGGUAUAAGACUGGGUCAGCACGCGGGAAUCUUCCCUCCUUCAUUUUGGUUUUUAUUUUUCAUUUUUGGCAAAUCCAAAAAAUAAAUAAUUUAAGAUAAAAUUGUUCUUCCUAUCGUGAAACCCUUCUCUUUAGGUUACGAGCUCCACCAAAAUAUCUUCUCUAUCAUGAAACCCUUCUUCUUUCAUCUUCAAUUGGUAACCCUUAUUAUUAUUCCAUAAAAAAACUCACCCAUCAGCCACUAUUUACCCUUCUUCUUCCAUUGUUACCUUAAAACCCUUGUUUCUCAAACCCUUCAAAUCUCAAUUUCUCUCUUAAAAAACAUAACCCUAAAAGCUCCUCCCUCAACCUUUUCCUUCAUCUCUUUAGUUUUUCGAUAAUGUUAGAUUCUCCGUUCCUCUAGAUCUAAUCUCCGUCUUGCUGUCAAACUCUGUUUCAGCGAUCUCUUUUGACGUACUCUGUUUCACCAUAACGUGUCACAGUAUUCCGUUUCUCUAUACUAUCUCUGUGUUCUCUUUCUUUGGUUUGCAUUUGUGUUGGACUAUUGGUGGAGCUUUGUCUCUCUAUUCUUGCAUUUCAAGAUGAUUCAUAGUGAAUAAAUGGAUAAAAAUGAUUUUGGUUAUGAUAUGUCAUGCUUCAAAGUUGUACUGAAACAUUUGAGUGGAUGCAUCAAAUUAUGUUUCACAUUUGGCUUUUUUCAUUUCUCAAAUUUUGAGUUUAACAGUGUGAUUGAUAGUAAGUUUGUUUAGAUUUUAUUUGCAGUUUCUUACAUAUAUCAUGUUAUUCAUUAUGUAUGAAGUUUGGUAGAUAGUAGAUACCAAAGACAAAUCAAUUUUUUGGAAUCAUUGGAGACAGAAUGUAAGGUCAUUCUUGAAGAUGUUCAGCCAAAAGAUAAGCAUUAUUGAAGGCGUCCAAUGUGGUGAGGUUUUUCCUAUGAUCUUAUUCUAUUGUGAAUCGUUUCACUGUGGUUAGGAAAUCAUAGUAUUAUGGUUAUCAACAAGGAGCAAACACUCUAUGUGUUGAGUCACCUUGUGUUGUCAAGUCUAGCUUGCAAAUCACGAUUUCGAGAUGUUUCUGUUUAAAUGUACAGCAAAUUUUUCCUUUCUGUUAUAUUGCUUUGGGCCUGAUAUGUUUCUCUCACUUUAAUGAAUUGUGUUGUUCUUUUUAAAUGAGUUUUUGUUAGGUGAUAGUUCAUAUGAUGAUUUGGUUCAGUUUCUAUGGGUGCGGCCAUUAAAAUAGUUGAUUUAUACUGUCAUGCUUUGUAAUUUGGUUCUUAUAAAUGUUUUACUUUGAUCUUUCUUUGGAUGCAGUUAUAUGUAGAUCUUCAAUUUCGUAAUGAGAAAUUGACUAUCUUAUGUAUUCUUCAAUUUCCUAUUUGCAAAGGUAUUCUUCUAGUUAAGGUCGAUAUGUUUUGUUGGUCUUUGUAAAGCCUGGCUGUGGUAUAUUGUUAUAAUGUUAUACAAUUCCAUAUCUUUCCCUUUAUAUAUGAGAUCUCAAAGUUGAGAGAUGACAAAAUGUUGGAAGCUAAACUGUUUUUUUCUUUGACUCGAAGGUUCAAAAGAUAAACUUUGGCUUUGAUAUUGCUUGUUCUCUAAGUGAUUUCAUUUGUUUGUUAAGGGUCUUAUUCCUGGAGGUUCUUUAAUUCACAUUGAUGCUAAUUUAGAUGCAACUUUGGAUGUGACCGAGCAUUAUUGGUUCCCUAUGCUGGCUGGUUUAUCUGAUCUAACAUCGAAUCAAAGACCAGAGGUUAGAAGUUGCACACUUGAUGUCUUGUUUGAUUUGAUGAAAGAGGUAGCAAGUUCUCUUCAUCAUUUUGAGAGAGUAUUUUUAAUUUUUUAUCUUCAUCAUUGAGUUCUAUUUCUAAUUUUUUAUCAUGUGAGACAUGCUGGAAAAGAAGGUUUUGUUUCUAGUGAUCAUGAUUGGUUUCAUGAAACAAGCAUACAUUCCCUUUUGCUGCUGUGCAACCUUUUCAGCACAUUCUAUAAGGUAAAGUAAAGAACUAAAGCAAUAUGUUUUUUCUAAUCUUUAACUUUGAUUUCUGAUUGGUCUAGUAACCUAACAUUAGUAUAUGUGACAAGGUAUAUGACAGCUUCCAGGAUCUAUAUGGUGAAAUUUUGCUCAAAACCUAAGUACCACCUAUAAGAUUGAAAUAUAAGUCUUGAACUUGGAAGCAACAUUUGUUUCUUGGAUUUGAGUAAUAUCUCUAGAUCAAUAUAACUGGGGCCAACAAUGAUGUUUCUCGAUUACCUAUGUUGACGAGAGGAAAACAUUAUCCUUAUUGUUUAUACAUGUUCACAUGAACUUCAUAUCUUUGAUUGUUUAAAUGAUUUGCAUCCUGGUGAUCACAUAGAGAUUUAGUGAAGGAAAAACAAAGAAUAUCCUUAUGGUCAUUUCAUUUACCAUAAAUAAUAUUGAUAUUCUUCUAAAUUUUCUCUCUAAUACCAUGUUAAUUAAUAAUAAAAGAGACUUUGUUUGAUUCAAAACCUUAUAUCAGUUAGUAGAUCAUUUCUAUUGUUAUGGUAGGUUGGUGGAAUGGUUUUGUAGGUCACUUGGAGUCAUGUGAUGGGAAUGAAAACCAUUGGUACUAUCAUAUUAGUGGUAAAGAUUAAAGCUAAUAUAGAAGAUUUGAAGAUGGAAACUUGAAGAUGAAAGUUAUAGGCUAUUAAGUAGGCACAAGUUGUUUUUAAGUUGAAACUUGUAUGUUUAUUAGUAUAAUCCUUUACAAUAGUUUAGGAUUGACAUUAUUUAUCUAUCACCAACUUUAAGUUUGU
Long non-coding RNA from Vicia villosa (hairy vetch), 3486 nucleotides. RefSeq lists it as uncharacterized. The record is from RefSeq and is a predicted model, not a curated record. The transcript has 3 exons. NCBI's taxonomy places the organism in Eukaryota, Viridiplantae, Streptophyta, Magnoliopsida, Fabales, Fabaceae.